RNAcentral lists this ribosomal RNA (844 nucleotides) under uncultured organism. Its description in RNAcentral is "bacterial SSU rRNA". It matches the Rfam family "Bacterial small subunit ribosomal RNA", at positions 23 to 880 of the family's 1533-position model. The record is from RNAcentral.
CUCAGGAUGAACGCUGGCGGCGUGCUUAACACAUGCAAGUCGAACGUGAAGCCCGGUACCUAGUAUUGGGUGGAAAGUGGCGGACGGGUGCGUAACACGUUGGUGACCUGCCCCGAGGUGGGGGAUAACCGUGGGAAACCACGGCUAAUACCCCGGAUGCCAAAGUAUUUAGAAAGCUUUGGCUAAAGCUCCGGCGCCUCGGGAGGGGCCUGCGGGCUAUCAGCUUGUUGGUGGGGUAAUGGCCUACCAAGGCAAAGACGGCUAGGGGGCGUGAGAGCGCGACCCCCCACAAUGGAACUGAGACACGGUCCAUGCUCCUACGGGAGGCAGCAGUGAGGAAUAUUGCGCAAUGGGGGCAACCCUGACGCAGCAACGCCGCGUGGAUGAUGAAGGCCUUCGGGUUGUAAAAUCCUUUUCCGGGGGAAGAAUCAUGACGGUACCUCGGGAAUAAGUCCCGGCUAACUACGUGCCAGCAGCCGCGGUAAAACGUAGGGGGCGAGCGUUAUCCGGAUUUACUGGGCGUAAAGCGCACGUAGGCGGCGCUGUAAGUUGGGCGUGAGAGCUCCCGGCUCAACUGGGAGAGGUCGUUCAAAACUGCAGUGCUUGAGGUUGGAAGAGGAGAGUGGAAUUCCCGGUGUAGUGGUGGAAUGCGUAGAUCUCGGGAGGAACACCAGUGGCGAAGGCGGCUCUCUGGUCCAACCCUGACGCUGAGGUGCGAAAGCGUGGGGAGCGAACGGGAUUAGAUACCCCGGUAGUCCACGCUGUAAACGAUGGAUACUAGGUGUGGGAGGUUACUUACCCCUUCCGUGCCGUAGCUAACGUGAUAAGUAUCCCGCCUGGGGAC